CUCACCUGGCCCCAGCGCGGAGCCGGAUCACACCUGCCUGCUGGGUGAGCCGAGGGCAUUCGCGGAAGGGAAGAGACAAGACCUGGGAAGGGACGCCUGUGGCUUAGAAAGACCCUCAGGCAGGGCCGGGCGUGGGGCGCGCUGAUAAAAAUUCCUGGAGCUGUAUUAUUCACAUCGCAGAUUUGUCCCUUUGCCUCAAUCUAAAAGGAAUGGGAAAGAACAGCCGCUGGGCUCUCAUUUGCUUCCAGCUUACACAGAUUCAACUAUCAAUUAUCCCAGAGGAGAGGCGUGCAGUGCAGGGCGUUGGGCCACGAAACUGAAAGCUGCUGGCGAGGCGCGUGGGGGAGGUCGAUUUCUGCGUCCUGCUGCCUCCACGCACAGUGAGAACCCACCCCGCCACUGCGUUCCUGUCCUCACAGGCACAUCAUUGCUUCAACUGAUUCAUGAGCAGAAGAGUCUUUGCUGGCAACACAUGAACUGUGAUGGAUUCAAUCACUUAGGCUUUCCAUUAUCAAUGCAGACCUGGCCCCUGGGUGCACAGGGUUAUCAGUGACCACCCCUGAAUGCCGCAACUGACCAGACUCCAGGGACACCAUGGACUACUUAGUUGCAGACUGAUGACUUUGGACCUCUUCCAUUAUGGAAAGGGCAGUGAUUUCUUUUCACUGAAACAGGCUCAUGUCUGACUUUGGAACUGACCUCUCUGCCUGUAGAUCAUCAUGGCAUGCUCUACAAAAUUGCUUCUGACAACGGAAUUCACUUUACAGUGAAAGAGGGAAAGCAGUGGGUGAUACCCUUGUCAAUGGAUCCUGUCACCCAGAAGCAGUCAUCUGUAUUCAGCUGUGACAUGAUUUAUUGAAGAUUUCAUUUCAGGACUGAGAGACGAUCAUACCUAAGGAGAUUGAAAUAUCGUCCUUUAAGAUGCUUGUUUGUUCUGAACUAGGGAACAUCACGUGGUGCCGUUUCUCCCACAGCCAGACUAAACAGGUCUGGAGGAAGGGGAAGUAGGCACGGUGCAACUUCCAUCUUACUUAAUGACUCUCACUCUCUUCAACUUUUUUUCCACCAAUUAGCGAUUUUAUUCCCAGGAAAGGAAGGUUGCACCAUUGAGGCAGCUGACCGUUGGGGUGGCUCCCUUUGGAAAGGGGAUAUAAAGUGUUUGUAUGAGUGAUGGUUCCAUUAAAGCAGACAUUUUUUAAAAAGGUGAAAUUUGGGGAAUUAGAGUGAAUAUAGAUGUUGAACAGAAAAAGAGUGAUAUAGCAAUAGUCUGGACAUGUGGGCUGGCCACCUGGAAUUUCACAUGCCAUUAGGUCAAAAAAGUGGGUUGACAAGGCUGGCUGCAGUGACUAGUCCUGGGAAAAUGCUGCUAUACCACGGGAGACAGGCCAGGGUGGAGGCUAUGAAUGAAACUCAAGUGGUUCUCUCAGGAGCCGCCUCCUCCUCCUCCUCCAGCGGUGGGAGUUAAGGGAAGACUGUUACCAUCAUGCAUAUGGGCAGGGCCUCCUUGGUCUCUGUGCCCUUAGGAAAGAGGAAUAGGGUCACGGCUAGUAGGUCACACCCCAGUCAUCUAAGGUACUGGCUGAAGACAGCAUGGACUUGGAAUGGAAACUGGAAGCGGGAAACCUAAACAUCAUCCAGGGUCUCUUCUCUAGGGCAGGAAAUGGGUGCUGUAGCUUCUACUUGUACUUCCUGUGUUGUGUGUAUCCUAUUUUAACUCAUUGCCUCUCUUUCCUCUCCCGUUAUUCGUUUUAUUGUAUAUGGGAUGAACGGUUAUGGUUAACUUUACACUUCAGCUCAAAGAUACAGAAUAAUGAGAUGGGCUUGUUAUCCCACGGAGGUGGGGUAUCCAUUACUCACAGACCUUGAGUACAGGAGUUGAAAGACAUUGGGGUAACCCCGUUGGAAAGGGAAUGAAAGAAGUUUUGAUUGUAUGAGGAAUAGCUACAUAUUUUAAGCAAGAGUUUUUUCUUUAAGUAAAACUAGAGGAAUUAGAGUAUAUGUUGAUAUUGAACAGCAAAAGAGUAAGGCUGUAAUGAACUUAAUAGACCCUUUUUUUUUUUUCUAUUUUGGCUCUGCACCAUAUGAACUCAUUCCCAAAUUUGGAAAAUCCACUAUUUUGCGAGUCUUGGGAAGGGGCAAGAUCAGCUAGUUCAUGGGCACAGGAUCUAAGCUCUGGCAGCUGGAUGUUCUGAUCUAGAACUUCGAAUGUGGAGCCAGGACACAAAGAAUCCAGCUCAGUGUAGAGUUUGUUCUUGUGGCGGCAGUGGUGGUGGCAUCAAGGUACAGCAGUUUCAUUAGUGGUGUCCAGGAUCUAGGGACCAGCUCUGGGGACCAUGGCAUCUAAACCAAGCUGUUCUCCAGGUGUGAUUGGGUCAUGGCCCCAGACCUCUGGCUUUCUUGGAUCCAACCCAUUUUCAAGCCCGAUUCUCCGAAAGAGCCUGUGAAUUCCCUAACAGGCUUCCACUCAUUUCCUUUUCUGUUUAAGUAAGCUGCUGUUGGAUGCUGUUGUUGCAACCAAGAAUCUGACUAGCCCUUCCCAUCUGAGCUCUUUCCUUUGCCUCUCCUAGUGUUGGAUCAGGGAGGUGUUAGUUCCAACUUUAGUUAGCUCUUUUAUGAUCAUCCUUGCAAAGAAGCAGCUUUGAGAAGUACUGAACGUAACACAGGUCAUCCACAACAUCCCCUUUUUAUUGAUAUUAAUCACAGUUAUGAGGUCUUGUCCAUCAGAAAGCACAAUUUGCAUUAUGUAGAACUACAUACAAAGACAUAAAAAUAAAACAUACAUACACCAACCACCACACCAGUUAAUCUCAACCAAUCAAACCUCUGAAUGUGUCUUCAAUUUUGAUCAUCAGUGCUUCGGAAGAACGUACAUAGACCCAGCCCAAGGUUGGCCUUUGGGGUCUGAUAGCAUUCACAGAGCAGGAGAUUCACCCUUGGAAGCAAUUGAAUGUGUAAACUCUGAGAGCAGACACUGACAAUGCAAUGCCUGCAUACCUGACUCCUGGGCUGCCUUCCUUCUCAGCAGAGCCCACUGAAAGUCUCACGUGUGCCUUUAACCAAUGAGGAUGGCAGGCCUUAUCUGUGUUUGAAGUGGACAGGUCAUUGCUACCCCUGUUGGAGAAGCUAUGUAAGAAGGAGUAGGCUGGCUUCUGGUCUAGUUCGACUCAUUCUUUAUAGGGACAUUUCAGAAUGAUGAGUUGGCUAAAAUUUACUUUAAAGGGGAAAUGUAAAAUUACCUCUUCUUUUCCUAUCCCCUUCUUCCUUUCCCAUCCUGAGCCCUCUGGCAAGGCCUGUUGCAGCUCAAGAGUUUUUGUCAGAUUAUAAGUUACCAAAUGGUCAACAGGGAAGGACCCACAGCAGAUUCCAAAACUCUUUCAUUCACUUGAGUUAACUGAAAUGGCUCCUUCUUUGAGUAAUUGAAGAGUUUGAGUUCUAGCAGUUUGCUGGUGUCUCCAAGUCUCUUAGAAACAUGAUGGCUAUAAACUUAUCAAAAUAAAUGCCUAAGAAAUUUGGAAAGCGCGACAAAUGGCCUUGCUCCUGGAAUCCAUUGACAGCAGAGGCCUCCGAACAAACCCACACUCUGUCUGUCUCUUCUUUCCACAGGGCUCACUGUGAGUUCACAGUUGUCCUCAUCCCCUUUCCUUCAAUAAUGUCAAUCUUUGCCUUUAAAAAAAAAAAAAAAAAAA
This 3686-nucleotide long non-coding RNA is filed under the name Homo sapiens (human). Its description in RNAcentral is "HSALNT0391567". Lineage: Eukaryota; Metazoa; Chordata; Mammalia; Primates; Hominidae. The record is from RNAcentral.